CCAGCAAUAACAUCAUCUCCAGCAGAUGCAUUGGCAGAACCUGGCCCGAGUGGCCUUAAUCAACAAGGAACAGCCUCGAGAGUCACAAGACCUAAUUCAGCACACAGCUGGAAAAUUCACGAAACGACUUCGCAACUCUGGCUGAGACACAAGUUUCAUGCAUGGAGAUGUUUGCAAAAUCGAUGGAGAAGACGGCCGAGAAUGACAGGCAGAGGAACGAAAAUGAAAGAGAAAGGAACGAGAUUCUCCGCACACUCGUCUAAUCUCAAAAAGAGCGGGACCAAGUUAUAAAUAACUUGACAGGAGUGCUGCAGGAAUGUGUGCAACAUUUAAAAAAAUAAAGAAUUAGGCACCGAAGAAUUAAGA
This is a long non-coding RNA of Neodiprion virginianus, 366 nucleotides long. RefSeq lists it as uncharacterized. NCBI's taxonomy places the organism in Eukaryota, Metazoa, Arthropoda, Insecta, Hymenoptera, Diprionidae. The transcript has 3 exons. The record is from RefSeq and is a predicted model, not a curated record.